Molecule: long non-coding RNA, 354 nt
Filed under: Bos grunniens (domestic yak)
Lineage: Eukaryota; Metazoa; Chordata; Mammalia; Artiodactyla; Bovidae
Description: lncRNA (ENSBGRG00000018801.1)
Source: RNAcentral
AUGACCCCAUCUAUAGGCCUGGGGCCCCUCCGUCCUCUCCCGCGUCACUUUCCCAGGAAGAUGUCCGACCUCGACCAUGAGCCUGGGGCCCAGCAUCUCAGGCUUGCCCACCUCUGUGUGUAUCCAGAAACCGUGUUGCACAGUAUGGUGUUGAACCUGACGUGGAUGGCACUCAGCAGUGAGCAGCUCUCCGAACUGCAGGAUUUCGCAACGGCAGCUUGGGAAACAGACCCAGCGCUCCGUUCAGAAGCAACGUGUAUCAGCCAACUGAGAUGGCCGUUGUGCUCAACGGGGGGACUAUCCCAACCGCUCCGCCAAGUUACACUGGAAGACACCUCUGGUGAAAGACUUUAA